CGGGUGCUGCUCUUCACGAGACACGGUUGCAUUCCGGUGGCCUUAAGCAAUUCCGAGGGAGCUGGCUCUGUCUGGAUCCUGGUCUAGUUACCUGGCGCCCACCUGUACAUACAGGUCCUCGGGAAUGAGAUAACCGAACGGUCGCUGCGGGCCCGCC
This 157-nucleotide unclassified non-coding RNA is filed under the name Thalassovita mediterranea. RNAcentral describes it as "Thalassobius mediterraneus 6S / SsrS RNA". The record is from RNAcentral. Lineage: Bacteria; Pseudomonadati; Pseudomonadota; Alphaproteobacteria; Rhodobacterales; Roseobacteraceae.